This 1165-nucleotide long non-coding RNA is filed under the name Mus musculus (house mouse). RNAcentral describes it as "predicted gene 43154". Lineage: Eukaryota; Metazoa; Chordata; Mammalia; Rodentia; Muridae. The record is from RNAcentral.
AGUGACUGGAGCUCCAGCCUUGCAGCAGGGUCUGUCCUGAGGAACCUUGGGCCUGAUUUGCAGCUACGCUGGGAGGGACCUCCCUUCUCUGAGAGACUGUUGCUUUCUCAGGUCUCUGCAACACAAUUUCCCAUCUUCUACAGAGUCACAGGAUCUAGAAUCACAUAGGAUAAAAGGAUCUGGGCACAUCUGUGAAGACAUUUUUGGAUUGGGCUGAGAUAGGAAGACUCAUCCUGAAUGUGGUGGCACCAUUCCCUAGGCUGGAGUGUUGGACCGAAUCAAAAGGAGAAACCUCUGGUAACCAUCACUCCAGGCUGUCUCUAUGGAGAUACUAAGGACCUCGUGCAAGAGGAAUCAGCAGCAUCUGCCUUUCUGGCUCCUUUCAGUCUAGACUGCUGUUGGGCUCAGCCUAUCUACUUGUUAAAUUUUGCCUUGGCUUUGAUCGUGCACAUGGACUGUUGGGAUCAUUCUGAAUUUUCAUUAUAUCAUUUCUGACAAUUGCUCUCCAGAUUGGUGUCAUCUGAAUAAUUGAUUGGCAAAUAUUUUUGAAAGGAUAAAGCCAAGGACAUACUCCUGUAUUCAACCAGCAGAAAUUUUUAUUCUCAUUGACAUUGAGCCACGAAUCAACACUUUUUGAUUGCAGCUGUUCAAAUGGCCAGAGUGCUAUGGAAGAAUGUAAAUGACAAUGGUGAAGACAGCACUGCAAAGAUAUCCUGUAUCUCUCGGGGAAUUCUUAAGUUGAAUGCAGUUCAAGGAAAAUCCCAACAAGUUACCUUCAUACAACCUGAUGAGCUGAAUCUCAGUUUCAUUCGAGAGAGCACAGGAAUGUACUGAUUGAGGGAGAAAUAACAAGAACGGAGGGAAUGCAUCUUUUUAGAAAUCAGAACUCAAGACUAUUAUAAAGCUAUAAUGAUUAGCACUGUUUGGUAUUGGCACCGAAGAGGAAAAAGAUCAAAGGAACAGAAAAGAGAUUCCAGGAAUAAAACAGCAAAGCAGCAUGUACGUAGCAAUUUGCAGUGGUACAGGGUGCAUUGCACAUCUUUUGGAACACAGAGGUAAUUACAAAGUGACACUGGCCUAUGUGGCAAUCUGGAGUGAAAAACAGUGUUCUCUCUCUAGCUCAGAUCUGCACUAAAACAGGUCCUAGGGUGUUUAAAGAUGAAAA